Molecule: transfer RNA, 82 nt
Filed under: Streptomyces mutabilis
Lineage: Bacteria; Bacillati; Actinomycetota; Actinomycetes; Kitasatosporales; Streptomycetaceae
Description: tRNA-Ser
Source: RNAcentral
GUCACCGUCUACACGCACGGCUGGUACGGGCAGUCGGCCUACUACGCCGACGACCUGUCCGUGUUCGGCCCGGACGGUGGCG